UACGGGGGGGGCAAGCGUUGUUCGGAAUUACUGGGCGUAAAGGGCUCGUAGGUGGCCAACUAAGUCAGACGUGAAAUCCCUCGGCUUAACCGGGGAACUGCGUCUGAUACUGGAUGGCUUGAGAUUGGGAGAGGGAUGCGGAAUUCCAGGUGUAGCGGUGAAAUGCGUAGAUAUCUGGAGGAACACCGGUGGCGAAGGCGGCAUCCUGGACCAACACUGACACUGAGGAGCGAAAGCCAGAGGAGCAAACGGG
Molecule: ribosomal RNA, 253 nt
Filed under: uncultured bacterium
Lineage: Bacteria
Description: partial 16S ribosomal RNA
Rfam family: Bacterial small subunit ribosomal RNA
Source: RNAcentral